This is a long non-coding RNA of Mauremys reevesii (Reeves's turtle), 631 nucleotides long. RefSeq lists it as uncharacterized. The record is from RefSeq and is a predicted model, not a curated record. Lineage: Eukaryota; Metazoa; Chordata; Testudines; Geoemydidae. The transcript has 2 exons.
GGAAAGGGAGGGGUGUGGGGUCGAGAUCCCUGCUGGCUGGGAGGCUAGUAGUCUCCAAGAGUGUUGGUCUCUAUAAAUACUUGUAAAUAAUAGGUGGUGGGAACGGACACAAACAAUAAAAGGACAUGGGUGUGGUGCCUCAGCUGGUCUCUGGGUGUUUUUGGUGCCUAGACUGGUGUUACAUGUGGGGACUCAUCCAGGAUUUGACGCCAGCGACUGUGGUUGGUGACCCUGGAGAUGGAAGGGCUAAAUGGCUGGUGAAGCAGCAGGAGGAGAUGAAGCAGACCUUGGUCAAUCUCCAGUUGGCCCAGCAGACCGAGAAGCAGGCCUUCCUGACCUGGCAGGUGGAACAACAAUGGAGCCUGCAGGAUUUUAUCAGGGAGCAGACCUGAGCUCCUCCCUGCUCAGAGCCGCAUGAAUUGGCACUCUCAGUUGGGUCCCACCACAGCCAGCAUCGCUAUGGAGCCAGGGCCGGGCUGUGCAUUUCCGCUGUCUCACACCAACCCAGCAGCCUAUGGAACCACCCGUUCUUAGUGCUGCUCCUCCCCCAUCUCCCACCUACCCACAUUCUGGUUUGCUGCACACAGUAGCUGUGUCUUGUCUUAAUGUGACUUAUAAGCCCCUUUGUGCA